Molecule: long non-coding RNA, 329 nt
Organism: Pseudopipra pipra
Lineage: Eukaryota; Metazoa; Chordata; Aves; Passeriformes; Pipridae
Exons: 3
Source: RefSeq, a predicted model, not a curated record
GAUGAAUCCAUAUCCAGAGCCCCGGUGAGUGGAUCGUCUCCUAACACUGCCGGGAUGGAUUUGAUGUUGAUGGAAGUGGCACUGGUUCUGACAGAGGAAACUAUCUUCCUUCAAUACUUUCAAUGUGAAUUAUUACCACAGAGACUAUUUUCUUCAGGUAGAACUCCAAUCCUUCAGAGUAAACUAAGCAAACCAUGGUACAGCUGGUAAGAAAAGGCUACAUAUAUCCUGGCUAAACAUGAACUCAGGGGCUCAUUCACCACAGGCUAUGCCAGUUUUGAGUCAAAGUGUUAUUGAAGCCCACAAAGUCACACAUUUUGAGCUGGGAG